Long non-coding RNA from Strongylocentrotus purpuratus (purple sea urchin), 1531 nucleotides. RefSeq lists it as uncharacterized. Lineage: Eukaryota; Metazoa; Echinodermata; Echinoidea; Camarodonta; Strongylocentrotidae. The transcript has 5 exons. The record is from RefSeq and is a predicted model, not a curated record.
UCGUCACCGUUUUCACGAAGUGGCCUCAGUGGCCAAAAUCGUUGAAAUUUUUAAUUUCGAGUUUUGACCGUUUUUGAGCAAUGUAUAUAAAUGUCUACAACUUCAGUAAUUUUCAAAGUCUAAUCUUGCUUAAUUACGUCAUACGUGACGUCACGAAACGUAUCACAAGCGGUACAACUGGCAAACACCGUUUUCACGAAGUGGCCUCUUUCGCGCAAAUGUAGUCUGCUAUUGAUAAUCGUACACGAACCGGCUCCGCGAAGCCUUUGUCACAGAUGCCGGUGCUUCUGGCGGAAUUGUUAGAGGAAUCUGACAGCCCUAGUAGAAUAGCCGGCUGAGAGGACCAUCACUAGCACUCCCAGUGGCUGAUGUCUAAGUAGGAGUUUGACGUGGAGAGCUUUAAGCAUGUUGUUGAGUUUACCAGUAGAAUAGACAGCUGGGAUACGCAAGAGAUGAGGGACCACUAGCACCCCCAGUGGUUGAUGUCCAUGUAGGAGUUUGUGCCGCUGAUGUGGAGAGCUUUUAGCAAAUUGACAAGGUAUGUGUGCAUCUUCACCCUCUGCCCUUGAACUGAUUGCUUUUCCAAUACCACGGUUUUGGGGGUCAGACCAAACGACUGACAGACCGACCAACUGAAUAGCUAAGUCCCCUCAGUCAUCAAAGGAUGGACAAAAAUACAGAAGUUAUUGUUAGGUGGGAUCGUGAUGGAGAGAUCAAUUGUGGCAAGAAACGAGAUCUUCGAUAUAACGGAAGGCUUAGGGUGGGUUCAAGAGUCACUAUGAGCUAGAUGGAUGUGGACUGGAUGGGGACUGCAACGCUGACAGGAGACUCUGACUCCGAAUGUGCCUCCAUUUAGAGGUUUUGUGGUCUAGUGGAUAAGUCGUUGGACUGUGGAUCACAGGAUCCAUGGUUCAAGUCCCGCCACAGCAGUAAUGUCUUCUGGCAAGAUAUUAAUCUACAUUUGCCACUCUGCUGUGAGCACCGAAAGCGGCUGCCCAGCAGAGCCAGGGUAAUAGUUGGAGCGCCUUGAGCAUAUUGUUAUUAUUAUUUUGACAGUGACAACCUCCCUCCUUCCUCACUAAGAACAGCACAGACUAAGGUCAUCCAUCAUAUGAAAGUUGCAUGUAAGAAGUUUUAAUCCCAUAAACUUACAGUGUUAAUCCCAUAAACUUACAGUGUUGUAUGUUUUUAGAAGGAUUUGGCAUGUAGGACUAAUAUUAAUUGCUAAUAGUUUAUAUUUCAAAGGGCAAUCCAACCUUUGUAACAAGUUGAUUUAUGUUAAAGCAGAACAAAAUGAGUGUAAUGGACUGGUGAAAUUUGAAAGAAAUCAGACAUAGAAUAAGAAAUAAUGUUUGAAAAGUUAGAUUACAACAUCUAUGUAAAUCUCAGAUCUGCAAUUUUAUGAGGCAACAGGGACGUAUGCAGCUGACAACUUUGUAUGUCAUACACAAAAAAUAUAAAUAAUUAAUGAUUUUCUUUUAAGCUCCUCUUCCAUUGUGGCAGUACUCAAACUAUAUUGUAACCCUCCCUC